This 354-nucleotide transfer-messenger RNA is filed under the name Actinomycetota bacterium. It matches the Rfam family "transfer-messenger RNA". Rfam says of the family: Bacterial tmRNA, also known as 10Sa RNA or SsrA, is named for its dual tRNA and mRNA-like properties. Its role is to liberate the mRNA from a stalled ribosome. The record is from RNAcentral. Lineage: Bacteria; Bacillati; Actinomycetota.
GGGGGCGUCAGGUCUCGACAGGGGACAUUUAGCCCAAGUGGCGAGCCGAGGUUCCGAUCACCUCGUUAAUCAAUCGGACGCGAAAACAAACGCGAACGAUAACCUAGCACUAGCCGCAUAAAAAUAAGCCGGCUACGUCACCCGAGUCAGGUCCGCGGACCCGGAAGUGGCGUCGCUAAGCGGACUACCGACCAGCCUAUGCCUGUAAGCAAGGUCGGGAAACAUACAGGCUGGCCGGCUAUCAAGGUUUGCCUUUGGACCCUUAAGCCGGUGAGAUUCAACCAAUAGGCUACGCUCGUAGAAGCUUUGGUGAGAUGCUCUUGGACGCGAGUUCAAUUCUCGCCGCCUCCACCA